Molecule: ribosomal RNA, 649 nt
Filed under: archaeon enrichment culture clone A21H90
Lineage: Archaea
Description: bacterial SSU rRNA
Rfam family: Archaeal small subunit ribosomal RNA
Source: RNAcentral
GGUUACUGCUAUCGAGGUUCGACUAAGCCAUGCGAGUCGAAUGUAGCAAUACAUGGCGAACUGCUCAGUAACACGUGGACAACCUGCCCUUAGGUUGGGUAUAAACCCGGGAAACUGGGUAUAAUACCCGAUAGGUCUCGAUUGCUGGAAUGCAUCGAGAUUUAAAGCUCCGGCGCCUAAGGAUGGGUCUGCGGCCUAUCAGGUAGUAGUGGGUGUAGCGUACCUACUAGCCUACGACGGGUACGGGUUGUGAGAGCAAGAGCCCGGAGAUGGAUUCUGAGACACGAAUCCAGGCCCUACGGGGUGCAGCAGGCGCGAAAACUUUACAAUGCUGGCAACAGCGAUAAGGGAACCUCGAGUGCCAGGUUACAAAUCUGGCUGUCGAGAUGCCUAAAAAGCAUUUCAUAGCAAGGGCCGGGCAAGACCGGUGCCAGCCGCCGCGGUAACACCGGCGGCUCGAGUGGUAACCGUUAUUAUUGGGUCUAAAGGGUCUGUAGCCGGCCGGAUAAGUCUCUUGAGAAAUCUGGCAGCUUAACUGUCAGGCUUUCAGAGAUACUGUCUGGCUCGAGGCCGGGAGAGGUGAGAGGUACUUCAGGGGUAGGGGUGAAAUCUUGUAAUCCUUGAAAGGACCACCAGUGGCGAAAGGCGU